UACGGGAGUGGCAAGCGUUAUCCGGAAUUAUUGGGCGUAAAGCGUCCGCAGGCGGUCUGUCAAGUCUGCUGUUAAAGCGUGGAGCUUAACUCCAUUUCGGCAGUGGAAACUGACAGACUAGAGUGUGGUAGGGGCAGAGGGAAUUCCCGGUGUAGCGGUGAAAUGCGUAGAUAUCGGGAAGAACACCAGUGGCGAAGGCGCUCUGCUGGGCCAUAACUGACGCUCAUGGACGAAAGCCAGGGGAGCGAAAGGG
RNAcentral lists this ribosomal RNA (253 nucleotides) under uncultured bacterium. RNAcentral's name for it is "partial 16S ribosomal RNA". It matches the Rfam family "Bacterial small subunit ribosomal RNA", at positions 524 to 776 of the family's 1533-position model. The record is from RNAcentral.